This 188-nucleotide small RNA is filed under the name Chrysemys picta bellii (western painted turtle). Its description in RNAcentral is "TUC338 (ENSCPBG00000007554.1)". Lineage: Eukaryota; Metazoa; Chordata; Testudines; Emydidae. The record is from RNAcentral.
CUGAGAGCCCUGGAGACUGAAGUCCUUUCUUUAUGCACAAAACAGGCACAGUCUGGGCAGAGGCAGAGCAAGCAACCUCAGCACCACCCUCCGGGCAUGCCUCAACCCUGCUCUGGAGGGAUUUUUUCUAAUGGGGAAUAACUGACAAUGUUCUCCAUUAUGAUGGGCCCAAGCUGUGAUAUGCAACU